UUGAUAGCUCCUCAUUUGAUGGAUGUCAUGAGUUGAGCUUUGAGAUAUGAAUAUGUUUGUUUGAUUAUGAUUAUGAACCUAUGGUAUGUCAGUCAGAAUACCCAUGCUAACAGGGUAGUGUUAGUCUUUGUGCACAUCGUAUCUGAACCCUAGUUGGUCGGGGGAGUCACCAACCUGUGUGGACUGAUCAUCCCACAGUACGGAGCCUCAUGCUCAUUGCAUUUUGAUUUUCUGACGAGUUUUACCAUAUGAUAUUCUUGUUAU
RNAcentral lists this long non-coding RNA (264 nucleotides) under Populus tremula. Its description in RNAcentral is "long non-coding RNA (PTRE_LNC003227)". The record is from RNAcentral. Lineage: Eukaryota; Viridiplantae; Streptophyta; Magnoliopsida; Malpighiales; Salicaceae.